Molecule: non-coding RNA, 23 nt
Filed under: Cricetulus griseus (Chinese hamster)
Lineage: Eukaryota; Metazoa; Chordata; Mammalia; Rodentia; Cricetidae
Source: RNAcentral
UUGGAAGUUGGGUAGAAUAUCUU